Molecule: ribosomal RNA, 369 nt
Filed under: uncultured soil bacterium
Lineage: Bacteria
Description: bacterial SSU rRNA
Rfam family: Bacterial small subunit ribosomal RNA
Source: RNAcentral
AGAACGAACGCUGGCGGCAUGCCUAACACAUGCAAGUCGAACGAGACCUUCGGGUCUAGUGGCGCACGGGUGCGUAACGCGUGGGAAUCUGCCCUUGGGUUCGGAAUAACAGUUGGAAACGACUGCUAAUACCGGAUGAUGACGUAAGUCCAAAGAUUUAUCGCCCGAGGGAUGAGCCCGCGUAGGAUUAGCUAGUUGGUGAGGUAAAGGCUCACCAAGGCGACGAUCCUUAGCUGGUCUGAGAGGAUGAUCAGCCUACACUGGGACUGAGACACGGCCCAGACUCCUACGGGAGGCAGCGAGUGGGAAUAGUUGGACAAGUGGGCGAAAGGCCUAGGAUACCAGCAAAGUGACCGCGUGACGGUGAGU